RNAcentral lists this ribosomal RNA (253 nucleotides) under uncultured bacterium. RNAcentral describes it as "partial 16S ribosomal RNA". It matches the Rfam family "Bacterial small subunit ribosomal RNA", at positions 524 to 776 of the family's 1533-position model. The record is from RNAcentral.
UACGUAGGGUGCGAGCGUUGUCCGGAAUUACUGGGCGUAAAGAGCUCGUAGGUGGUUUGUUGCGUUGUUCGUGAAAACUCACAGCUCAACUGUGGGCGUGCGGGCGAUACGGGCAGACUGGAGUACUGCAGGGGAGACUGGAAUUCCUGGUGUAGCGGUGGAAUGCGCAGAUAUCAGGAGGAACACCGGUGGCGAAGGCGGGUCUCUGGGCAGUAACUGACGCUGAGGAGCGAAAGCGUGGGGAGCGAACCGG